RNAcentral lists this unclassified non-coding RNA (1287 nucleotides) under Hevea brasiliensis (rubber tree). The record is from RNAcentral. Lineage: Eukaryota; Viridiplantae; Streptophyta; Magnoliopsida; Malpighiales; Euphorbiaceae.
CUAAGCAAUAAUGCUUAGUGGUGCCAAUAAUAAAAUAAAAAGAACUAAUAAAAAAAAAAUAAAUAUACAGUGAAUGUAUUGAUGUCUCAUGCAGACAAGUUUUUGAUAAUUAUUGGUAGUCUUAUUUAUUUGGUACUUGUUAUAUUCAUUAUUUCAUUAAAUUUAUCCACUUUCAUUUUUGGUUGCCCAAGUAACCUAUACUGGAUGACUGGACUGGAUAAACGGGUAAACUGGCACUGGGUACUAAGUACCUCGGACCAUCACACCAUCGGUCACAUUGUAUCUCUCGGUGUGCAACAGAACAGCUAAUAAGCUGUAAUAAUCAUCAAGGUGAAAACCGGAGUGUAACAACUCAAAUAACAUAGCCAAAGGCUAGUAUGUCACAAAACCUAAAUUGAACCACUAAGGGAUGGUUUGGGAGAUGGCUCAUGAAUCGCAGGGUUUUGGUUCAAGCCUCGGUUUGAAACAAUUUAACAGACGGUUCAAAGAUGGGUGGUUUGGGGCGGUUCAAUAGGGGUUUGGGGCAGUUUGGGGGGCGACUUGGGCAGUUUUAUCAAAAAAAUAGGAGGAAAAAAAAUUAAUAAAUGAAAUCUUUGAAAUAAAAAUUGAUAAGAAAUAUAUAGACUUAGUUAAAAAAAUUAUAGAAAUGAAAAGAGAUAAAAUUAAUUUUAGUUAAAAAAAAAGGGCUUGAACUUAAUUUUGUAAAAAUUAAGUUGCCUAUGUAUCCUCUUAGGGAUUAGAGGAAUCAAAACCUAUGUAGUUCUCUUAUCUUUUAUUUAGAGUUAAUAACCCCCCUUACCUUAAUCGCUUUGACAACCGCUUGAUCCAGUUACUGUUCUAUCUGUUCUAAUGUCAUAUAAAUCUUUAUUUCCUUCACGUAUGAUCUCUUGUUGCCUUAAUGCUGCCUUAGUCUAAUCAUCAAAACAUGUUUGAUCUUAUAAUGAUUCAGGAAGCAUACUAGUUCGUGUCUCAUCUAAUAUACUAUCCCCUAGACUGAAAGCUUGUUCAAUUGCAACUGUGGAGACUAAUGAUGCUAAAAUUUGUUUAGUAAUUAGUGCAAACUUAGGAAAAGUAUUUAUGUGUCGACGCCAUCAAUCAAGUACUAAAAAUUUUUUAUCAGCACUACUAUCACCAAACAUUAAAAUAAUGGUUAAAUAAAUGUCAAUUCCUGUCAACUUGGGGAAAGUAAUUAAACUUACAAAUCACAACUUAUUUAAUGUGUAAUUCAAAGACAAGGUUUGUAAUACAUAGCUUGCUACUAUUCCACUUGAAAUAUUUUAUAAUCAA